CCUACGGGUGGCAGCAGUGAGGAAUAUUGGUCAAUGGGCUUACGCCUGAACCAGCCAAGUCGCGUGAGGGAAGACUGCCCUAUGGGUUGUAAACCUCUUUUGUCAGGGAGCAACGCCGGCUACGUGUAGCCGGACUGAGAGUACCUGAAGAAAAAGCAUCGGCUAACUCCGUCCCAGCAGCCGCGGUAAUACGGAGGAUGCGAGCGUUAUCCGGAUUGAUUGGGUUUAAGGGGUGCGCAGGCGGGGGAUCAAGUCAGCGGUAAAAUGUCGGGGCGCAACCCCGGACGGCCGUUGAAACUGGUUUUCUAGAGUUGGAGAGAGGUAUGCGGAAUUCGUGGUGUAGCGGUGAAAUGCAUAGAGAUCACGAAGAACUCCGAUUGCGAAGGCAGCAUACCGG
Molecule: ribosomal RNA, 397 nt
Filed under: uncultured bacterium
Lineage: Bacteria
Description: partial 16S ribosomal RNA
Rfam family: Bacterial small subunit ribosomal RNA
Source: RNAcentral